CCUACGGGAGGCAGCAGUGGGGAAUAUUGCACAAUGGGCGCAAGCCUGAUGCAGCCAUGCCGCGUGUAUGAAGAAGGCCUUCGGGUUGUAAAGUACUUUCAGCAGUGAGGAAGGUGGGUAUGUUAAUAGCAUAUUCAUUUGACGUUAGCUGCAGAAGAAGCACCGGCUAACUCCGUGCCAGCAGCCGCGGUAAUACGGAGGGUGCGAGCGUUAAUCGGAAUUACUGGGCGUAAAGCGCAUGCAGGUGGUUUGUUAAGUCAGAUGUGAAAGCCCGGGGCUCAACCUCGGAAUUGCAUUUGAAACUGGCAAACUAGAGUACUGUAGAGGGGGUAGAAUUUCAGGUGUAGCGGUGAAAUGCGUAGAGAUCUGAAGGAAUACCGGUGGCGAAGGCGGCCCCCUGGACAGAUACUGACACUCAGAUGCGAAAGCGUGGGGAGCAAACAGGAUUAGAUACCCUGGUAG
Molecule: ribosomal RNA, 462 nt
Filed under: uncultured bacterium
Lineage: Bacteria
Description: bacterial SSU rRNA
Rfam family: Bacterial small subunit ribosomal RNA
Source: RNAcentral